AAUGAAGUGCCUGAUUAAAGGGCUAUCUUGAUAGGAUAGAUCAAGCAGGUAACCCUGCCUUCAUUA
RNAcentral lists this transfer RNA (66 nucleotides) under Heptagenia sulphurea. RNAcentral's name for it is "tRNA-Ile". Lineage: Eukaryota; Metazoa; Arthropoda; Insecta; Ephemeroptera; Heptageniidae. The record is from RNAcentral.